RNAcentral lists this ribosomal RNA (776 nucleotides) under uncultured Neocallimastigales. Its description in RNAcentral is "partial large subunit ribosomal RNA". It matches the Rfam family "Eukaryotic large subunit ribosomal RNA", at positions 22 to 635 of the family's 3401-position model. The record is from RNAcentral. Lineage: Eukaryota; Fungi; Neocallimastigomycota; Neocallimastigomycetes; Neocallimastigales.
GUACACGCUGUGACUAGCAUAUCAUAAGCGGAGGAAAAGUAACUAACAAGGAUUCCCCUAGUAACGGCGAGUGAAGCGAGGAAGAGCUCAAAUUUGAAAUCUUAAGGGGUUUCCCUUUACGAAUUGUAGUUUAAAGAAGUGUUUUCUGUUGAGGUUUUGGUAAAAGUUCUUUGGAAUAGGACAUCAUAGAGGGUGAGAAUCCCGUAUUUGACCAUUUACUUUUCAGCUGUGUGAUACACUUUCAAAGAGUCGGAUUGUUUGGGAAUGCAGUCCAAAAUGGGUGGUAAAUUUCAUCUAAAGCUAAAUAUUGGCGAGAGACCGAUAGCGAACAAGUACCGUGAGGGAAAGAUGAAAAGAACUUUGAAAAGAGAGUUAAACAGUACGUGAAAUUGUCAAAAGGGAAGCGUUUGACACCAGUGUUGUUUUUCUGAAAAUCAAUUAAAGAACUGUUUAUGCUAAGUUGUUUAGACUUUAUCAGCUAACUGUUUAGUUUUGAGCUUUUCUUUAAUGCACUUUUCAGUUAACAAGUCAACAUCAAUUUCUUUUGCUGUAAAAAAGCUUGAGGAAGGUGGCUUGAGAUUCGUCUUAAGUGUUUAUAGCCUCUUGCCUAUGCAGUCGGAGAGAUUGAGGUCUGCAGCGUAGAUCCUUCGGGGCUAAAUGCAUUUGUGCUAAGUUAUAGCAUUUUAUAGACAACUUGUUGACUAUGAUUUGUCUUGUAGCUUACUCGCUUAUGUUAUUUUACCUACGCUUAGGAUGUUGAAGAUGUAGCACAUCAU